RNAcentral lists this ribosomal RNA (169 nucleotides) under uncultured Flavobacterium sp. Its description in RNAcentral is "partial 16S ribosomal RNA". It matches the Rfam family "Bacterial small subunit ribosomal RNA", at positions 338 to 524 of the family's 1533-position model. Lineage: Bacteria; Pseudomonadati; Bacteroidota; Flavobacteriia; Flavobacteriales; Flavobacteriaceae. The record is from RNAcentral.
CCUACGGGAGGCAGCAGUGGGGAAUUUUGCGCAAUGGGGGAAACCCUGACGCAGCAACGCCGCGUGGAGGAUGAAAUCCCUUGGGAUGUAAACUCCUUUCGAUCGGGACGAUUAGGACGGUACCGGAAGAAGAAGCCCCGGCUAACUUCGUGCCAGCAGCCGCGGUAAU